GACUACAUAGCUCAAUGGUAGAGCAACGGUCUUCGGAACCGGAGGUUGUGGGUUCGAAUCCCAUUGUGGUUG
Molecule: transfer RNA, 72 nt
Filed under: Enterocytozoon bieneusi H348
Lineage: Eukaryota; Fungi; Microsporidia; Enterocytozoonidae
Description: tRNA-Arg (TCG) (tRNA-Arg-TCG-1-1)
Rfam family: tRNA
About the family: Transfer RNA (tRNA) molecules are approximately 80 nucleotides in length. Their secondary structure includes four short double-helical elements and three loops (D, anti-codon, and T loops). Further hydrogen bonds mediate the characteristic L-shaped molecular structure. tRNAs have two regions of fundamental functional importance: the anti-codon, which is responsible for specific mRNA codon recognition, and the 3' end, to which the tRNAs corresponding amino acid is attached (by aminoacyl-tRNA synthetases). tRNAs cope with the degeneracy of the genetic code in two manners: having more than one tRNA (with a specific anti-codon) for a particular amino acid; and 'wobble' base-pairing, i.e. permitting non-standard base-pairing at the 3rd anti-codon position.
Source: Rfam by way of RNAcentral